Molecule: ribosomal RNA, 133 nt
Filed under: uncultured bacterium
Lineage: Bacteria
Description: partial 16S ribosomal RNA
Rfam family: Bacterial small subunit ribosomal RNA
Source: RNAcentral
CAGGGAAUAUUGCACAAUGGGCGAAAGCCUGAUGCAGCGACGCCGCGUGAGGGAUGAAGGCCUUCGGGUUGUAAACCUCUUUCAGGAGGGACGAAGCGAGAGUGACGGUACCUCCAGAAGAACGCCCCGGCCA